GGCGGCGUAGAUAAGACAUGCAAGUCGAACGCGACUUAUCGUGUUAGCAAUAACAUGGUAAGUUGAGUGGCGAAAGGGUGCGUAACACGUGGGAAUUUACCAAGAAGUGGGGAAUAGCUCGACGAAAGUCGAAUUAAUACCGCAUAUGAUCGCAAGAUCAAAGCCGGGGACCGCAAGGCCUGGCGCUUUUUGAGAAGCCCGCGGCCCAUCAGCUAGUUGGCGAGGUAAAAGCUCACCAAGGCUAUGACGGGUAGCUGGUCUGAGAGGACGACCAGCCACACUGGAACUGAGACACGGUCCAGACACCUACGGGUGGCAGCAGUCGAGAAUUUUUCACAAUGGACGAAAGUCUGAUGGAGCGACGCCGCGUGGAGGAUGAAGGUUUUCGGAUUGUAAACUCCUGUCACUGCAGAA
Molecule: ribosomal RNA, 414 nt
Filed under: uncultured Verrucomicrobiota bacterium
Lineage: Bacteria; Pseudomonadati; Verrucomicrobiota
Description: bacterial SSU rRNA
Rfam family: Bacterial small subunit ribosomal RNA
Source: RNAcentral